Molecule: small RNA, 149 nt
Filed under: Aeromicrobium choanae
Lineage: Bacteria; Bacillati; Actinomycetota; Actinomycetes; Propionibacteriales; Nocardioidaceae
Description: c-di-AMP sequence
Rfam family: c-di-AMP riboswitch aptamer (ydaO/yuaA leader)
About the family: This family represents a conserved RNA structure found upstream of the ydaO and yuaA genes in Bacillus subtilis and related genes in other bacteria. The ydaO/yuaA element is thought to act as a genetic "off" switch for the ydaO and yuaA genes in its native state.
Source: RNAcentral
ACGGCGGCGCCGCCGAAUCGUCGGACCGGAAACGGCCGGCGAGCCGGGGAACCAAGGUACGUGGGGUGAAUCGACCGGCUCGCCGGUCGUAGGGCAAGACCGAGGCCCGAAUCCGUCAGCUCACCUGGUAGGCGUCGAGGUACUCAGGA